UGGGGAAUUUUGGACAAUGGGGGAAACCCUGAUCCAGCCAUCCCGCGUGUGCGAUGAAGGCCUUCGGGUUGUAAAGCACUUUUGGCAGGAAAGAAACGUCAUGGGUUAAUACCCCGUGAAACUGACGGUACCUGCAGAAUAAGCACCGGCUAACUACGUGCCAGCAGCCGCGGUAAUACGUAGGGUGCAAGCGUUAAUCGGAAUUACUGGGCGUAAAGCGUGCGCAGGCGGUUCGGGAAGAAAGAUGUGAAAUCCCAGAGCUCAACUUUGGAACUGCGUUUUUAGCUACCGGGCUAGAGUGUGUCAGAGGGAGGUAGAAUUCCGCGUGUAGCAGUGAAAUGCGUAGAUAUGCGGAGGAACACCGAUGGCGAAGGCAGCCUCCUGGGAUAACACUAACGCUCAUGCACGAAAGCGUGGGGAGCAAACAGG
Molecule: ribosomal RNA, 429 nt
Filed under: Acidobacteriota bacterium
Lineage: Bacteria; Pseudomonadati; Acidobacteriota
Description: Acidobacteria bacterium partial 16S ribosomal RNA
Rfam family: Bacterial small subunit ribosomal RNA
Source: RNAcentral